UCGGGAGCUUGCACAGGUGCUGCAUGGCUGUCGUCAGCUCGUGUCGUGAGAUGUUCGGUUAAGUCCGCUAACGAGCGCAACCCUCACUGUGUGUUAUAUGUGUCACACGGGACUGCCGGUCUUAAGCCGGAGGAAGGUGGGGAUGAUGUCAAGUCAGCAUGGCCUUUAUAUCCUGGGCUACACACACGCUACAAUGGCCAACACAAUAGGUUGCUAAGCCGCGAGGUGGCGCCAAUCCAUAAAGUUGGUCUCAGUUCAGAUUGUAGGCUGCAACCCGCCUGCAUGAAGAUGGAGUUGCUAGUAACCGCAGGUCAGCUAUACUGCGGUGAAUACGUUCCCGGGGCUU
This 346-nucleotide ribosomal RNA is filed under the name uncultured Leptolinea sp. RNAcentral's name for it is "bacterial SSU rRNA". It matches the Rfam family "Bacterial small subunit ribosomal RNA", at positions 1022 to 1382 of the family's 1533-position model. Lineage: Bacteria; Bacillati; Chloroflexota; Anaerolineae; Anaerolineales; Anaerolineaceae. The record is from RNAcentral.